This is a non-coding RNA of Bos taurus (domestic cattle), 72 nucleotides long. The record is from Rfam. Lineage: Eukaryota; Metazoa; Chordata; Mammalia; Artiodactyla; Bovidae.
UCCCUGGUGGCUCAGAGGGUAAAGCAUCUGCCUGCAAUGCAGGAGACCAGGGUUCCAUCCCUGGGUCGGGAA